GGUGCCACACACUCUUUUUUCUUAUUCCUGAGGCAUUAUCAAGACUCAAAGUAUAAGAGUUAAGAGUGGCAUC
MicroRNA precursor from Bison bison bison, 73 nucleotides. The record is from Ensembl. NCBI's taxonomy places the organism in Eukaryota, Metazoa, Chordata, Mammalia, Artiodactyla, Bovidae.